Molecule: ribosomal RNA, 208 nt
Filed under: uncultured bacterium
Lineage: Bacteria
Description: partial 16S ribosomal RNA
Rfam family: Bacterial small subunit ribosomal RNA
Source: RNAcentral
CUCGUAGGCGGUUCAACAAGUCGGUCGUGAAAGCCCGGGGCUCAACUCCGGGACGCCGGUCGAAACUGUUGUGACUUGAGUUCGGUAGAGGUGAGUGGAAUUCUCGGUGUAGCGGUGGAAUGCGCAGAUAUCGAGAGGAACACCAUUAGCGAAGGCGGCUCACUGGGCCGAUACUGACGCUGAGGAGCGAAAGCGUGGGGAGCAAACA